RNAcentral lists this ribosomal RNA (200 nucleotides) under uncultured bacterium. RNAcentral describes it as "partial 16S ribosomal RNA". It matches the Rfam family "Bacterial small subunit ribosomal RNA", at positions 328 to 539 of the family's 1533-position model. The record is from RNAcentral.
ACGCUCGACACCUACGGGGGCAGCAGUUGGGAAUAUUGGACAAUGGAGGAAACUCUGAUCCAGUGACGCCGCGUGAAGGAAGAAGGUCUUCGGAUUGUAAACUUAUUUUGUCAGGGAAGAAAAAAUGACUGUACCUGAAGAAAAAGCACCGGCUAACUACGUGCCAGCAGCCGCGGUAAUCUGAGGCGGGCUGGCAAGGC